RNAcentral lists this transfer RNA (65 nucleotides) under Bactrocera melastomatos. RNAcentral describes it as "tRNA-Phe". RNAcentral also lists the same sequence under 1 other name. The record is from RNAcentral. Lineage: Eukaryota; Metazoa; Arthropoda; Insecta; Diptera; Tephritidae.
AUUCAAGUAGCUUAAAAUAGAGCAUAACAGUGAAGAUGUUAGGGUAAUUGUGUAAUUCUUGGAUG